This 479-nucleotide ribosomal RNA is filed under the name uncultured bacterium. Its description in RNAcentral is "partial 16S ribosomal RNA". It matches the Rfam family "Bacterial small subunit ribosomal RNA", at positions 28 to 507 of the family's 1533-position model. The record is from RNAcentral.
GAUGAACGCUAGCGGGAGGCCUAACACAUGCCAGCCGAGCGGUAUUUGUUCUUCGGAACAGAGAGAGCGGCGCACGGGUGCGGAACACGUGUGCAACCUGCCUUUAUCUGGGGGAUAGCCUUUCGAAAGGAAGAUUAAUACCCCAUAAUAUAUUGAGUGGCAUCAUUUGAUAUUGAGAACUCCGGUGGAUAGAGAUGGGCACGCGCAAGAUUAGAUAGUUGGUGAGGUAACGGCUCACCAAGUCAAUGAUCUUUAGGGGGCCUGAGAGGGUGAUCCCCCACACUGGUACUGAGACACGGACCAGACUCCUACGGGAGGCAGCAGUGAGGAAUAUUGGACAAUGGGUUAGCGCCUGAUCCAGCCAUCCCGCGUGAAGGACGACGGCCCUAUGGGUUGUAAACUUCUUUUGUAUAGGGAUAAACCUACUCUCGUGAGAGUAGCUGAAGGUACUAUACGAAUAAGCACCGGCUAACUCCGUG